This 238-nucleotide ribosomal RNA is filed under the name uncultured Lactobacillus sp. Its description in RNAcentral is "partial 16S ribosomal RNA". It matches the Rfam family "Bacterial small subunit ribosomal RNA", at positions 125 to 355 of the family's 1533-position model. The record is from RNAcentral. Lineage: Bacteria; Bacillati; Bacillota; Bacilli; Lactobacillales; Lactobacillaceae.
CCGUAGCCCAAGAGAUCGGGAUAACACCUGGAAACAGAUGCUAAUACCGGAUAACAACAGAUGAUGCCUAUCAACUGUUUAAAAGAUGGUUCUGCUAUCACUCUUGGAUGGACCUGCGGUGCAUUAGCUAGUUGGUAGGGUAACGGCCUACCAAGGCGAUGAUGCAUAGCCGAGUUGAGAGACUGAUCGGCCACAUUGGGACUGAGACACGGCCCAAACUCUACGGGAGGCAGCAGCA